Molecule: ribosomal RNA, 580 nt
Filed under: Saccharomyces cerevisiae (brewer's yeast)
Lineage: Eukaryota; Fungi; Ascomycota; Saccharomycetes; Saccharomycetales; Saccharomycetaceae
Description: partial large subunit ribosomal RNA
Rfam family: Eukaryotic large subunit ribosomal RNA
Source: RNAcentral
UCCUUUAGUACGGCGAGUGAAGCGGCAAAAGCUCAAAUUUGAAAUCUGGUACCUUCGGUGCCCGAGUUGUAAUUUGGAGAGGGCAACUUUGGGGCCGUUCCUUGUCUAUGUUCCUUGGAACAGGACGUCAUAGAGGGUGAGAAUCCCGUGUGGCGAGGAGUGCGGUUCUUUGUAAAGUGCCUUCGAAGAGUCGAGUUGUUUGGGAAUGCAGCUCUAAGUGGGUGGUAAAUUCCAUCUAAAGCUAAAUAUUGGCGAGAGACCGAUAGCGAACAAGUACAGUGAUGGAAAGAUGAAAAGAACUUUGAAAAGAGAGUGAAAAAGUACGUGAAAUUGUUGAAAGGGAAGGGCAUUUGAUCAGACAUGGUGUUUUGUGCCCUCUGCUCCUUGUGGGUAGGGGAAUCUCGCAUUUCACUGGGCCAGCAUCAGUUUUGGUGGCAGGAUAAAUCCAUAGGAAUGUAGCUUGCCUCGGUAAGUAUUAUAGCCUGUGGGAAUACUGCCAGCUGGGACUGAGGACUGCGACGUAAGUCAAGGAUGCUGGCAUAAUGGUUAUAUGCCGCCCGUCUUGAACCCCCGACACACA